Molecule: long non-coding RNA, 1195 nt
Filed under: Homo sapiens (human)
Lineage: Eukaryota; Metazoa; Chordata; Mammalia; Primates; Hominidae
Description: HSALNT0398293
Source: RNAcentral
UGGCCUCAAGCAAUUCUUCCUCAUCAGCCUCCCUAAGUGCUGAGAUUACAGGCAGGAGCCACCAUACCUGACCACUUCAUUCUUGUUGGUUUUGCUUCGCUGGAAAAAAUAUAAAUUCUCCCUCAAUAUGUGACUUACCACAGUCAUGAAGGAAGAUUUCACUAUAAGGCAGUUCAUAAAAAUCUGUGCAGUGUACACUAACCCAUUUUUGUGUCUGUUUCUUGAAUUAAAAAAAUAAUAUCUAUGACAUACUCAAGCAGUUAUACCACCCAAUAAAAUGUUGCCACCCUUAGUAUGGAGGACACUACUCUUUCCUGAACUGCAAAUGGAGAAGCCAGGGGAGCAGAGAGCAAUGGAGAAGGAGAACACGCUGUCCCCUCUCCACAAGGGAGGAGGAAGACUGCAGGCCCCUCGUGAUUGCACCAUUACCCAGCUCCAGACUCAACCCUCCUCUCCACCCUCCUCACAAGAGAGAUACAGGGAUGUUCUACAACCAUAAAUCUGGUCACUUCCAUCCCCUGCUUAGGCCUGGGCCAUGGUCAGUGCCCUCAGGAUAGACUGGAGUUCUCCAAGGGCCCAUAAAAAUGCCCCAGCCUUGCUGCCCACUCCAGUCUCCUCUUCCUGCCUUGCAUUCUGGCCUCUGGGUUCAGCUUUGUCGAAACAGGCACAGUUCUCAUUCAUUCUUGAAAUAGUAGCUCAAAUGUCUUCUUCUCCUAGAAGACAUCGCUGGCCUUCCAGGCUGGGUGAGGCAACCACUGUGGGCUCCCAAGCCUUUACGCGUCCCCAACCCAGCCCUGACUCUCUGAGUCAUCAAGGCCUGAGGACAAUCUGUGUUCCCAGUGAUGGCACAUGGCCCGCUAUUAUGUCUCUGCUGUGUCCUCUGCAGCACGUCGGGGUAGCAGGGACCAGCUUGCAAGCUUGAAGUGUGCAGAUGGAACACAGAGCACUCCAGCCACCCAGGCAGAUAUCAGAGGAUGGGCCCUCAGGCACUGAUUCCUGUCUGUCACCUGGGAGAGGCUCCCUGAGGCCAGGUGGAAAUCAUACCCGGAUGCCACCAGAAUGAUGAUUCAGCCCUUUCCGUGCUUGUUCCAGAGGGGAAGCCCAUGAAAGGAGGACAGCCAGUGCUCUCCUGUGUGCCACGUUCCAGAAGCUCAGUCUCACUCUGUCGCGCAGGCUGGAGUGCAGUGGCACGAUC